This 403-nucleotide ribosomal RNA is filed under the name bacterium. Its description in RNAcentral is "partial 16S ribosomal RNA". It matches the Rfam family "Bacterial small subunit ribosomal RNA", at positions 355 to 776 of the family's 1533-position model. The record is from RNAcentral.
UGGGGAAUCUUGCACAAUGGGGGAAACCCUGAUGCAGCGACGCCGCGUGAGCGAUGAAGGUUUUCGAAUCGUAAAGCUUUGUCCUAUGGGAAGAUAAUGACGGUACCAUAGGAGGAAGCCCCGGCUAACUACGUGCCAGCAGCCGCGGUAAUACGUAGGGGGCGAGCGUUGUCCGGAAUUACUGGGCGUAAAGGGUUCGCAGGCGGCAUGACAAGUCCGAUGUAAAAGGCGAAAGCUCAACUUUCGUAAGCAUCGGAAACUGUCAAGCUUGAGUGAAGGAGAGGCAAGUGGAAUUCCUAGUGUAGCGGUGGAAUGCGUAGAUAUUAGGAGGAAUACCGGUGGCGAAGGCGACUUGCUGGACUUCAACUGACGCUGAGGAACGAAAGCGUGGGUAGCAAACAGG